GUGAGGAAUUUUCCGCAAUGGGCGAAAGCCUGACGGAGCAAUGCCGCGUGAAGGAUGAAGGCCUAUGGGUUGUAAACUUCUUUUCUCAGAAAAGAAUUAUGACGGUAUCUGAGGAAUAAGCAUCGGCUAACUCUGUGCCAGCAGCCGCGGUAAGACAGAGGAUGCAAGCGUUAUCCGGAAUGAUUGGGCGUAAAGCGUCUGUAGGUUGUUUAAAAAGUAUUCUGUCAAAGAUUAGGGCUUAACCCUAGAUAGGCAGAAUAAACUUUUAAGCUAGAGUUUGGUAGAGGCAGAGGGAAUUCCCGGUGGAGCGGUGAAAUACGUAGAUAUCGGGAGGAACACCAAAGGCGAAGGCACUCUGCUGGGCCAAUACUAACACUGAGAGACGAAAGCGAGGGGAGCAAAUGGGAUUAGAAACCCGAGUAGUCC
Molecule: ribosomal RNA, 426 nt
Filed under: uncultured bacterium
Lineage: Bacteria
Description: partial 16S ribosomal RNA
Rfam family: Bacterial small subunit ribosomal RNA
Source: RNAcentral